AGAGUUUGAUCAUGGCUCAGAUUGAACGCUGGCGGUAGGCUUAACACAUGCAAGUCGAGCGGAAACGAAGAAAAGCUUGCUUUUCAGGCGUCGAGCGGCGGACGGGUGAGUAACGCGUAGGAAUCUGCCUAGUAGUGGGGGACAACCUGUGGAAACGCAGGCUAAUACCGCAUAAUCCCUGAGGGGGAAAGGAGGGGAUCUUCGGACCUUUCGCUAUUAGAUGAGCCUGCGUGAGAUUAGCUAGUUGGUGAGGUAAAGGCUCACCAAGGCGACGAUCUCUAGCUGGUCUGAGAGGAUGAUCAGCCACACUGGGACUGAGACACGGCCCAGACUCCUACGGGAGGCAGCAGUGGGGAAUAUUGGACAAUGGGCGCAAGCCUGAUCCAGCCAUACCGCGUGUGUGAAGAAGGCCUUAGGGUUGUAAAGCACUUUCAGAAGGGAGGAAAGGUUGAUGUUUAAUACGCAUUAGCNGNG
This 474-nucleotide ribosomal RNA is filed under the name uncultured Alteromonas sp. Its description in RNAcentral is "bacterial SSU rRNA". It matches the Rfam family "Bacterial small subunit ribosomal RNA", at positions 8 to 477 of the family's 1533-position model. The record is from RNAcentral. Lineage: Bacteria; Pseudomonadati; Pseudomonadota; Gammaproteobacteria; Alteromonadales; Alteromonadaceae.